GCCGACAUCAGUGCAAUCAUUCGCCUGACCAAGCGCCGACCUGAACGACAUGCCGAGCCGUACUACGGCUUCGCCCCGUUACAUCGCAGGUAAACCGACCCCCGGUCUAUAAAAGGGGGUUGGAAAAUCGAUACUGGGGGGGACGCACCGUUUACCUCUACUCUACACGAUUUGCCCCCUCCCUGACUUGAGCGUCGGAGGGCCGGCGCCGGGAGACCCGGCCACCGGCUCGUGUGCAGGCACCCAGACGGAGGACGCCGCCCACUGUCGGAUCGUCGCCCAGCCGCGGGAAUCAGCCGCUCCUUCUCGCCGAUCGCCCCAGACGGAGGACGCCGCCCGUCGACGAACCACCG
RNAcentral lists this long non-coding RNA (353 nucleotides) under Phoenix dactylifera (date palm). Its description in RNAcentral is "long non-coding RNA (PDAC_LNC002232)". The record is from RNAcentral. Lineage: Eukaryota; Viridiplantae; Streptophyta; Magnoliopsida; Arecales; Arecaceae.